GUGAAUCAUCAAAUUUUUGAACGCAAAUUGCACUCUCUGGUAUUCCGGAGAGUAUGCCUGUUUGAGGGUCAGUUUAAAUAAAAAUCUGUCUGUUUGCUGCCUUUCGUGGUGACGCACCGGAUGUGGGUCGUCUUUCCUUCGUUUAAGUGACCUAAAUUUUUUCUUGAUUUUUUCGAACGUAUUUAAAUUAUUUUACGUACGUUUUCGAUAUCGAAUACUAGUUGCGGCCAUCC
Molecule: unclassified non-coding RNA, 233 nt
Filed under: Glomeraceae sp.
Lineage: Eukaryota; Fungi; Glomeromycota; Glomeromycetes; Glomerales; Glomeraceae
Description: partial contains 5.8S ribosomal RNA and internal transcribed spacer 2
Rfam family: 5.8S ribosomal RNA (bases 1-71)
Source: RNAcentral